UGCUGUCGGGCAGGGGCACCCCCCUAACCCCUGCACUGAGCAGUCUGGUUUUAGAACCUGUAAGCGAAUUGUGCUUUAUCCUGGGAGCCUGCCUGAAGCUCACCUAAACACCGGAUCAGGCUCCAGGGGUCAAAGGGAGGGGCCUAAAGGAGCCGCAUUCAGAUUCAGGCAUGCAGACCCUCUCAAGUUUCAGGGUCCAAAGAGAAGACUCCAGAGGAGCCCAGCAGACAGGCACUGCGGUAACUAUUGCUGAAAACAGCAGGACCCCUGCCAUCUCCAUCCGAAAGGAAACAUUUAAAUUCCUGUACCAAGU
Molecule: long non-coding RNA, 313 nt
Filed under: Homo sapiens (human)
Lineage: Eukaryota; Metazoa; Chordata; Mammalia; Primates; Hominidae
Description: HSALNT0028932
Source: RNAcentral